RNAcentral lists this ribosomal RNA (442 nucleotides) under uncultured Aquabacterium sp. Its description in RNAcentral is "bacterial SSU rRNA". It matches the Rfam family "Bacterial small subunit ribosomal RNA", at positions 936 to 1382 of the family's 1533-position model. The record is from RNAcentral. Lineage: Bacteria; Pseudomonadati; Pseudomonadota; Betaproteobacteria; Burkholderiales; Sphaerotilaceae.
AUGAUGUGGUUUAAUUCGAUGCAACGCGAAAACCUUACCUACCCUUGACAUGCCAGGAAUCCUGCAGAGAUGUGGGAGUGCUCGCAAGAGAGCCUGGACACAGGUGCUGCAUGGCUGUCGUCAGCUCGUGUCGUGAGAUGUUGGGUUAAGUCCCGCAACGAGCGCAACCCUUGUCAUCAGUUGCUACGAAAGGGCACUCUGAUGAGACUGCCGGUGACAAACCGGAGGAAGGUGGGGAUGACGUCAGGUCCUCAUGGCCCUUAUGGGUAGGGCUACACACGUCAUACAAUGGCCGGUACAGAGGGCAGCCAACCCGCGAGGGGGGAGCCAAUCCCAGAAAACCGGUCGUAGUCCGGAUCGCAGUCUGCAACUCGACUGCGUGAAGUCGGAAUCGCUAGUAAUCGCGGAUCAGCUUGCCGCGGUGAAUACGUUCCCGGGCCUU